GGAUGCGAGGGUAAUCUGGCUGCAACAUCUGUCACCCCACUGACUGCCAGGGUUGGGUCUGCUAUCUGGCUGCCUAGGAGGCCUCACAGAACUAUGUGUGCCCUCCUGAAGCAGAGUGCUCAGUCGAAGAGGACAACCACCCAAACAUAGAGGGACCAUUUCCUUGGUCAAGAGUAUAGGUGUAGUCGCACUCCCCUGUGAGAACCUCCAAACAACCUCUCAAGAAAAUGCGGCUAAAUAGUAAAUGAAAUACUUUAACUAUACAGACCCCAAACUGUCACCUGAUUACUAAAUCACGUAUUAGUCUAACGUAUGUU
RNAcentral lists this small nuclear RNA (317 nucleotides) under Chinchilla lanigera (long-tailed chinchilla). RNAcentral's name for it is "7SK RNA (ENSCLAG00000021931.1)". It matches the Rfam family "7SK RNA". Rfam says of the family: 7SK was discovered as an abundant small nuclear RNA in the mid-70s but a possible function has only recently been suggested. Two independent studies have found that 7SK RNA binds the CDK9/cyclin T complex (known as elongation factor P-TEFb). Lineage: Eukaryota; Metazoa; Chordata; Mammalia; Rodentia; Chinchillidae. The record is from Rfam by way of RNAcentral.